UGGGGAAUAUUGGGCAAUGGGCGCAAGCCUGAUCCAGCCAUGCCGCGUGAGUGAUGAAGGCCCUAGGGUUGUAAAGCUCUUUUAACCGCGAAGAUAAUGACGGUAGCGGGAGAAUAAGCUCCGGCUAACUCCGUGCCAGCAGCCGCGGUAAUACGGAGGGAGCUAGCGUUGUUCGGAAUUACUGGGCGUAAAGCGCGCGUAGGCGGCCAUUCAGGUCAGAGGUGAAAGCCCGGGGCUCAACUCCGGAACUGGCUUUGAAACUAGAUGGCUAGAAUCCAGGAGAGGUGAGUGGAAUUCCGAGUGUAGAGGUGAAAUUCGUAGAUAUUCGGAAGAACACCAGUGGCGAAGGCGACUCACUGGCUCGAUCCUGACGCUGAGGCGCGAAAGUGUGGGGAGCAAACAGG
Molecule: ribosomal RNA, 404 nt
Filed under: uncultured prokaryote
Description: bacterial SSU rRNA
Rfam family: Bacterial small subunit ribosomal RNA
Source: RNAcentral